GUGUCAGCCGCCGCGGUAAUACGAAGGGGGCUAGCGUUGCUCGGAAUUACUGGGCGUAAAGGGCGCGUAGGCGGCCGAUCAAGUCAGGCGUGAAAUUCCUGGGCUCAACCUGGGGGCUGCGCUUGAGACUGGUUGGCUAGAGGCCGAGAGAGGGUGGUGGAAUUCCCAGUGUAGAGGUGAAAUUCGUAGAUAUUGGGAAGAACACCGGUGGCGAAGGCGGCCACCUGGCUCGGUACUGACGCUGAGGCGCGACAGCGUGGGGAGCAAACAGGAUUAGAUACCCUGGUAGUCCACGCCGUAAACGAUGUGCGCUGAAUGUUGGGGUUCCUAGAACCUCAGUGUUGUAGCUAACGCGGUAAGCGCACCGCCUGGGGAGUACGGCCGCAAGGUUGAA
RNAcentral lists this ribosomal RNA (394 nucleotides) under uncultured bacterium. RNAcentral describes it as "bacterial SSU rRNA". It matches the Rfam family "Bacterial small subunit ribosomal RNA", at positions 505 to 898 of the family's 1533-position model. The record is from RNAcentral.